This 229-nucleotide ribosomal RNA is filed under the name uncultured bacterium. Its description in RNAcentral is "partial 16S ribosomal RNA". It matches the Rfam family "Bacterial small subunit ribosomal RNA", at positions 568 to 796 of the family's 1533-position model. The record is from RNAcentral.
UGCGUAGGCUGCACGGAAAGUUGGGUGUGAAAGCCCUCAGCUCAACUGAGGAAUUGCAUCCAAAACUGCCGUGCUUGAGGGAGACAGAGGUAAGCGGAACUCAAGGUGGAGCGGUGAAAUGCGUUGAUAUCUUGAGGAACACCGGUGGCGAAAGCGGCUCACUGGGUCUCUUCUGACGCUGAGGCACGAAAGCGUGGGUAGCGAACAGGAUUAGAUACCCUGGUAGUCC